CGGACGGGUGAGUAAUGUCUGGGAAACGGCCCGAUGGAGGGGGAUAACUACUGGAAACGGUAGCUAAUACCGCAUAACGUCGCAAGACCAAAGAGGGGGACCUUCGGGCCUCUUGCCAUCGGAUGUGCCCAGAUGGGAUUAGCUAGUAGGUGGGGUAAUGGCUCACCUAGGCGACGAUCCCUAGCUGGUCUGAGAGGAUGACCAGCCACACUGGAACUGAGACACGGUCCAG
This 232-nucleotide ribosomal RNA is filed under the name uncultured bacterium. Its description in RNAcentral is "partial 16S ribosomal RNA". It matches the Rfam family "Bacterial small subunit ribosomal RNA", at positions 99 to 334 of the family's 1533-position model. The record is from RNAcentral.